UACGUAGGGUGCAGGCGUUAAUCGGAAUUACUGGGCGUAAAGCGUGCGUAGGCGGUUUGUUAAGACAGGUGUGAAAUCCCCGGGCUUAACCUGGGAACUGCGCUUGUUACUGGCAGACUUGAGUGUGGCAGAGGGGGGUGGAAUUCCAGGUGUAGCAGUGAAAUGCGUAGAUAUCUGGAGGAACACCGAUGGCGAAGGCAGCCCCCUGGGCUAACACUGACGCUGAUGCACGAAAGCGUGGGGAGCAAACAGG
This 253-nucleotide non-coding RNA is filed under the name uncultured bacterium. RNAcentral describes it as "partial 16S ribosomal RNA". It matches the Rfam family "Bacterial small subunit ribosomal RNA", at positions 524 to 776 of the family's 1533-position model. RNAcentral also lists the same sequence under 2 other names. The record is from RNAcentral.